GAUGAACGCUGGCGGCGUGCCUAAUACAUGCAAGUCGAGCGAACGGACGAGAAGCUUGCUUCUCUGAUGUUAGCGGCGGACGGGUGAGUAACACGUGGAUAACCUACCUAUAAGACUGGGAUAACUUCGGGAAACCGUAGCUAAUACCGGAUAAUAUUUUGAACUGCAUGGUUCAAAAGUGAAAGACGGUCUUGCUGUCACUUAUAGAUGGAUCCGCGCUGCAUUAGCUAGUUGGUAAGGUAACGGCUUACCAAGGCAACGAUGCAUAGCCGACCUGAGAGAGUGAUCGGCCCCACUGGAACUGAGACACGGUCCAGACUCCUACGGGAGGCAGCAGUAGGGAAUCUUCCGCAAUGGGCGAAUGCCUGACGGAGCAACGCCGCGUGAGUGAUGAAGGUCUUCGGAUCGUAAAACUCUGUUAUUAGGGAAGAACAUAUGUGUAAGUAACUGUGCACAUCUUGACGGUACCUAAUCAGAAAGCCACGGCUAACUACGUG
This 497-nucleotide ribosomal RNA is filed under the name uncultured bacterium. Its description in RNAcentral is "partial 16S ribosomal RNA". It matches the Rfam family "Bacterial small subunit ribosomal RNA", at positions 28 to 507 of the family's 1533-position model. The record is from RNAcentral.